RNAcentral lists this ribosomal RNA (351 nucleotides) under uncultured bacterium. RNAcentral's name for it is "bacterial SSU rRNA". It matches the Rfam family "Bacterial small subunit ribosomal RNA", at positions 917 to 1271 of the family's 1533-position model. The record is from RNAcentral.
GGGCCCGCACAAGCGGUGGAGCAUGUGGUUUAAUUCGAUGAUACGCGAGGAACCUUACCAGGGCUUAAAUGUAAGUUGCAUUAGUUAGAGAUAGCUAUUUCUUCGGACCACUUACAAGGUGCUGCAUGGUUGUCGUCAGCUCGUGCCGUGAGGUGUCAGGUUAAGUCCUAUAACGAGCGCAACCCCUGUUGUUAGUUGCCAGCGAGUCAUGUCGGGAACUCUAACAAGACUGCCGGUGCAAACCGUGAGGAAGGUGGGGAUGACGUCAAAUCAUCACGGCCCUUACGUCCUGGCUACACACGUGCUACAAUGGUCGGUACAGAGGGCAGCGAAGUCGCGAGGCUAAGCAAA